RNAcentral lists this transfer RNA (75 nucleotides) under Rickettsiales bacterium. RNAcentral's name for it is "tRNA-Glu". It matches the Rfam family "tRNA". Rfam says of the family: Transfer RNA (tRNA) molecules are approximately 80 nucleotides in length. Lineage: Bacteria; Pseudomonadati; Pseudomonadota; Alphaproteobacteria; Rickettsiales. The record is from RNAcentral.
GGUUCCUUAGUCUAGCGGUUAGGACGUUAGCUUCUCACGCUGAAAACACGGGUUCAAAUCCCGUAGGAAUCACCA